Unclassified non-coding RNA from Macaca mulatta (Rhesus monkey), 148 nucleotides. It matches the Rfam family "Metazoan signal recognition particle RNA". From Rfam's summary of the family: The signal recognition particle (SRP) is a universally conserved ribonucleoprotein. It is involved in the co-translational targeting of proteins to membranes. The record is from Ensembl. NCBI's taxonomy places the organism in Eukaryota, Metazoa, Chordata, Mammalia, Primates, Cercopithecidae.
GUCGGGCAUGGUGGUGGGUGCCUGUAAUCCCAGCUACUUUGGAAGCUGAGACAGGAGAAUCACUUGAACCCGGGAAGCAGAGGUUGCAGUGAGCCAAAAUUGUGCCACUGCACUCCAGCCUGGGUGACAGAGUGAGACUCUGUCUCAU